AACGAACGCUGGCGGCAGGCUUAACACAUGCAAGUCGAGCGCCCCGCAAGGGGAGCGGCAGACGGGUGAGUAACACGUGGGAAUCUACCCAUCCCUACGGAACAACUCCGGGAAACUGGAGCUAAUACCGUAUACGCCCUUCGGGGGAAAGAUUUAUCGGGGAUGGAUGAGCCCGCGUUGGAUUAGCUAGUUGGUGGGGUAAAGGCCUACCAAGGCGACGAUCCAUAGCUGGUCUGAGAGGAUGAUCAGCCACAUUGGGACUGAGACACGGCCCAAACUCCUACGGGAGGCAGCAGUGGGGAGUAUUGGACAAUGGGCGCAAGCCUGAUCCAGCCAUGCCGCGUGAAUGAUGAAGGCCUUAGGGUUGUAAAGUUCUUUCACCGAUGAAGAUAAUGACGGUAGUCGGAGAAGAAGCCCCGGCUAACUUCGUGCCAGCCGCCGCCGUAA
Molecule: ribosomal RNA, 447 nt
Filed under: uncultured bacterium
Lineage: Bacteria
Description: partial 16S ribosomal RNA
Rfam family: Bacterial small subunit ribosomal RNA
Source: RNAcentral